Molecule: ribosomal RNA, 460 nt
Filed under: uncultured bacterium
Lineage: Bacteria
Description: partial 16S ribosomal RNA
Rfam family: Bacterial small subunit ribosomal RNA
Source: RNAcentral
CCUACGGGGGACAGCAGUGAGGAAUAUUGGUCAAUGGACGAGAGUCUGAACCAGCCAAGUAGCGUGAAGGAUGACUGCCCUAUGGGUUGUAAACUUCUUUUAUAUGGGAAUAAAAUGUUCCACGUGUGGGAUUUUGUAUGUACCAUAUGAAUAAGGAUCGGCUAACUCCGUGCCAGCAGCCGCGGUAAUACGGAGGAUCCGAGCGUUAUCCGGAUUUAUUGGGUUUAAAGGGAGCGUAGGUGGAUUGUUAAGUCAGUUGUGAAAGUUUGCGGCUCAACCGUAAAAUUGCAGUUGAAACUGGCAGUCUUGAGUACAGUAGAGGUAGGCGGAAUUCGUGGUGUAGCGGUGAAAUGCUUAGAUAUCACGAAGAACUCCGAUUGCGAAGGCAGUUCACUGAACUGCAACUGACACUGAGGCUCGAAAGUGUGGGUAUCAAACAGGAUUAGAUACCCCUGUAGUC